CAGUGCUGGACUACACCUGUUUCUGCACUGCCGAGCUUUACACAGAGCAAGCAGGGUGUUUUCUUACGUCUUCAGCCACUUUUUGACAGCACAAAGCUGGUGGAGUUGAAGCUCUAGCCUCAGACCAUCUGUGAGGGGCUGGAGUCUGAGCACUGGUGGGUGCUCAGCAAUGAAUUUUAUCAUUUGUUCCCAGAGUGCAAUGGAACAUCAAAGAGUGAGGCGGCCAUCUACCUCCACACUGACUCAGCGGAGUCGUCACUGCAGAAUGUUACACUGCUUAGAACUUCCUUGUGUACUUUUGUAGUUACAGUUAAAAGAUUGAAACAUAGUCUUUCUGUAAAAUUGUGUCCAAAUAUAGUUUUAUGCAUUUU
Molecule: long non-coding RNA, 371 nt
Organism: Pygocentrus nattereri (red-bellied piranha)
Lineage: Eukaryota; Metazoa; Chordata; Actinopteri; Characiformes; Serrasalmidae
Exons: 4
Source: RefSeq, a predicted model, not a curated record